AAUAGAUACCCAGGUAGUCCACGCCGUAAAUGGUGGGCACUAGGGUGUGGGCGACAUUCCACGUCGUCCGUGCCGCAGCUAACGCAUUAAGUGCCCCGCCUGGGGAGUACGGCCGCAAGGCUAAAACGUCAAAGGAAUUGACGGGGGGCCCGCACAAGCGGCGGAGCAUGUGGCUUAAUUCGACGCAACGCGAAGAACCUUACCAAGGCUUGACAUACACCGGAAAACCCUGGAGACAGGGUCCCCCUUGUGGUCGGUGUACAGGUGGUGCAUGGCUGUCGUCAGCUCGUGUCGUGAGAUGUUGGGUUAAGUCCCGCAACGAGCGCAACCCUUGUCCCGUGUUGCCAGCAGGCCCUUGUGGUGCUGGGGACUCACGGGAGACCGCCGGGGUCAACUCGGAGGAAGGUGGGGACGACGUCAAGUCAUCAUGCCCCUUAUGUCUUGGGCUGCACACGUGCUACAAUGGCCGGUACAAUGAGCUGCGAUACCGCGAGGUGGAGCGAAUCUCAAAAAGCCGGUCUCAGUUCGGAUUGGGGU
RNAcentral lists this ribosomal RNA (537 nucleotides) under uncultured bacterium. Its description in RNAcentral is "bacterial SSU rRNA". It matches the Rfam family "Bacterial small subunit ribosomal RNA", at positions 777 to 1304 of the family's 1533-position model. The record is from RNAcentral.